RNAcentral lists this ribosomal RNA (744 nucleotides) under Peribacillus simplex. RNAcentral describes it as "bacterial SSU rRNA". It matches the Rfam family "Bacterial small subunit ribosomal RNA", at positions 56 to 769 of the family's 1533-position model. Lineage: Bacteria; Bacillati; Bacillota; Bacilli; Caryophanales; Bacillaceae. The record is from RNAcentral.
UGCAGUCGAGCGAAUCGAUGGGAGCUUGCUCCCUGAGAUUAGCGGCGGACGGGUGAGUAACACGUGGGCAACCUGCCUAUAAGACUGGGAUAACUUCGGGAAACCGGAGCUAAUACCGGAUACGUUCUUUUCUCGCAUGAGAGAAGAUGGAAAGACGGUUUACGCUGUCACUUAUAGAUGGGCCCGCGGCGCAUUAGCUAGUUGGUGAGGUAAUGGCUCACCAAGGCGACGAUGCGUAGCCGACCUGAGAGGGUGAUCGGCCACACUGGGACUGAGACACGGCCCAGACUCCUACGGGAGGCAGCAGUAGGGAAUCUUCCGCAAUGGACGAAAGUCUGACGGAGCAACGCCGCGUGAACGAAGAAGGCCUUCGGGUCGUAAAGUUCUGUUGUUAGGGAAGAACAAGUACCAGAGUAACUGCUGGUACCUUGACGGUACCUAACCAGAAAGCCACGGCUAACUACGUGCCAGCAGCCGCGGUAAUACGUAGGUGGCAAGCGUUGUCCGGAAUUAUUGGGCGUAAAGCGCGCGCAGGUGGUUCCUUAAGUCUGAUGUGAAAGCCCACGGCUCACCCGUGGAGGGUCAUUGGAAACUGGGGGAACUUGAGUGCAGAAGAAGGAAAGUGGAAUUCCCAGGUGUAGCGGUGAAAAUGCGUAGAGAUUUUGGAAGGAACACCAGUGGGCGAAAGGCGAACUUUUCUGGUCCUGUAACUUGACACCUGAAGGCGCGAAAAGCGUGGGGAAG